Molecule: long non-coding RNA, 1500 nt
Filed under: Equus asinus (donkey)
Lineage: Eukaryota; Metazoa; Chordata; Mammalia; Perissodactyla; Equidae
Description: lncRNA (ENSEASG00005024175.1)
Source: RNAcentral
UCAGGCUUUGGAAUGAGAAUAAUAGACGAUAGCGCCGUUGGCCUAGCGCUGACCGUGUGCCGGAGUCACACAUUAUCUCACUGAUUCUGUCUAACCCUUUUACAGAUGAGAAACCUGAAGCUCAGACAGCCUAAGAAACCUGUCCAAGGACCCAAUGCUAGAAGAGAGCACCCCAGUACUUCCAAUCUCAUUCACCGAUCUUAACCUAUUAUAUCAUGAAUUUUGCCUAAUCCUAAUGAUGCCCCGCAUUGAAACACUGGCCUUAUGCCAGUCCCCCAGAUCCUCAUCAAGAUCUUGCUUUUCACCUCCUCCUUCCUUGACUCUAAGAUUGUGAGGUAGUGAUCUUUACCGCAGUGAACAAAUACGCUUGAGUUUAAUAAGUUUUUUUAAUGAUAUUUUCAGGGAACCACUAUUUGACACCAGAAAUAGGAGGCUUUAAUUUCCUUUCCUCAGGGGAAAAAAAAAAAGGAAAGGAAAAGGAAGAGAUGUGAAAAGGGAAGGGACAGGGAAAAGAAAAGGGAAGGAAGAGGGUAAUGGCAGAAAAGGAAAGAAAAAACUCAUUUCACCUAUCAAGCUUAACUUCAGGUGUGGCCUCUACCUGACGGCUCUUGCUAUCUGUGGAAACAGGCUCACCUUACAAGGCAUUUCUAAAUAUCACAAGAAAGUGGGAUAUGGCAGAAAAUCAAUCACCUAUGUGGGUUUCAGAUUAGGAUUCUCAUCCUGGCUCUGCCAAAAUGUUCACAGCAUGAAUUACAGGCUCCAAUGAAUGGGCAUAUCACCUGCCAACCUGAAUGUAAGAUUCAAACAAGACAAUGGGAGUGAAAACCCAUUAAGAGUUACACUCCUGGAAGUCUGGGAAGAGCAGGCAAAGUGUUGUAAAUCAUAAAAGGGCAAGCAGUGUCUGAAUUUUCAUAAGACAGAAGAUGAAGUUAAAAAAUACAGGAAUACCAGGUAGGAGGAUGCCGCAAGACAGAGCAAAUGCAGAUUUCAACAGGGCAUUUGACAAUUCACAUCAUAGACAAGCAAGUGAAAUGUAGGCUGGACGAUAGCAUUGAGGCUUGUUAAAGACCAGGCCCAGAGGGGGCUGACGAGCAGGGACCACAAGAGGAGGCUGCGAGGGGCCUGCUCUAAUCUCCCACCCUGGCCCAGCCAAUUCAGGGUGCCAGUAGUGACUUGGUGAGAAUGCAACAGCACACUCAUAGAAGUGUGGAUGACCUGAAGCAGAAAGAGAUGCCCAAUAUUCUGGAUGACAAACUGAGUACAGACUAAAUCUAACAAGAUGAAAUUUAACAGGGACUACUAAAGUCCUAUAUAGUGGGGUUUAAAAUAAAUGCACAAGAACAAGAUAGGAAUGAAUAAAAAUUAUAAUCUGUAAGUCUUAACUAUAUUAACUAUAAUCAGUUGGUCAUGUAGAAUGCCAAGAAGCAUCUAAGCAGUGUUUGAUUUUUCUAUUACAUAACAUAACUUCCAAUCAAUAAAAGAACUGUUACCUAAGACCCA